AACUUUCGGCAACGGAUCUCUUGGCUCUCGCAUCGAUGAAGAACGCAGCGAAAUGCGGUAAGUAAUGUGAAUUGCAGAAUUCAGUGAAUCAUCGAAGCUUUGAACGCACCUUGCACCCUUUGGCAUUCCGAAGGGGAUGCUCGUUUGAGUGUCAUUGUACUCUCAUGCUCCCGAGGCUUUUGGAUCGGGAGUGGUGGACUUGGGUGUUGCUGCUUCACUGUGGCUCACCUGAAAUGCAUUAGUGCAACUGUUGACUAACCAUAGUAUGGCAUGAUAAGCAUCUUUGCCAGCACCUCUCCGGAGGGUGGUCAGUCAAGAGCUCUGUGCUUCUAACUGUCUUUGGACAAUGUUGACAACUUGACCUCAAAUUGAGUAGGACUACCCGCUGAACUUAAGCAUAUCAAUAAGCGGAGGCU
This 416-nucleotide unclassified non-coding RNA is filed under the name uncultured Sebacinaceae. Its description in RNAcentral is "sequence contains ITS2". The stretch from base 1 to 154 matches the Rfam family "5.8S ribosomal RNA". The record is from RNAcentral. Lineage: Eukaryota; Fungi; Basidiomycota; Agaricomycetes; Sebacinales; Sebacinaceae.